GGUUGCUCUAACUAUCUUGAUACUAUUUAAUUUCAAGUGGCUACUUAAUCAAUAUGUUCAUAAAAUGUAAAUGGACAAACACUUCUGAGAAUUUGUCAUAUAAUGUUUAAGUAUCCCUAUAUUAAGCAAAGUUGGUUUGUUUAAAAAGAAAAGAAAAAAAAAGAUAAUUAAAUGUAUAGAUAAAUAACUUUAUCUUGCAAAUUGGCGACUCCAUUUUAGCCUCCUCUCAGUCAUUGCUACAAACUCUAUGCUUUCCACUUUGUCACUUGGCAGUCAGCAUACAGAAAGCAUCCGUAAAGAAAGGAGAAAUAAGACAAUGUUCAUAUUUCUCCUCCUCACUUGCAAUGUCUGUCCUGCAUUUGCAUUGUCUGAAUCGGAUUAUGUAGUCAUUUGCUAAAUCUUUAGUAUAACUUUUUAAAAGAAAAUGUAACAUCUCAAGAAAAAAAAAAAAUUCAGCCCAACUUAUAGGUUAUUUUCAAUAGUUUUGUUUUCAGUAAAAUCCAGAUAAGUGACACUUCCCAUUUAAGCCACUCCAAAGUAGCAUCUUACUUUGGAAAUUAUUAGUAUAUUAACACAAUUGUACAAUUUCAAACCAAAAUGAACAUAUCAGAUUAUGAAAACAUUUUUAAACAUUUCAACAACUUUUAACACAUUUUAUUUUAUCAGCUAAAACAUAUGUUUUCAUAAUGUGAUAUGUUCUGCAAGUUUAAAUCAGUUAAUAUUUUAUUUAUGUGUGGAAGACUUCUCAAAAAUGUUUUUGAUGCAGACCUCAUAUAUUGUAUUGUUAACAUAGCAGAGCUUGGUAUUAUUUUUUACUUGACUUUUCCAUAUUGUACUUCGAUAAAGUGUUCUUGAGUUAUACACAAAACUAUUUUCCAUAAAAUUAGAGACAUUUCAUAGAUUAAUUUGACGUAACAUCAUUCAAGUAAGCAACCACUAAAAGGUUCACUUAAAGAAAUUAGUAACGGUUU
This is a non-coding RNA of Pelobates cultripes (western spadefoot toad), 971 nucleotides long. Lineage: Eukaryota; Metazoa; Chordata; Amphibia; Anura; Pelobatidae. The record is from the annotation of a GenBank genome assembly.